This is a long non-coding RNA of Oreochromis aureus, 2011 nucleotides long. NCBI's taxonomy places the organism in Eukaryota, Metazoa, Chordata, Actinopteri, Cichliformes, Cichlidae. The record is from Ensembl.
CCAUCCACAAUACGAGGUUAGUUAUUCAUAUACUGCUGCAUGGGCUGUGCUGUAGUUACAUCGUAAGGUUUUAAAAACUGAGCUUAAAUAAAUGAUUAGCGGUAAUAAAAGCCGAGGGAGGUCAAUGGUGAUCACUGAAUGUUUUUAGGAGCUUUUUGAGAUUAAAUAGAAGAAAAUACAAAGCAUUAAACAUGUUAACAACACAAAAGCGAUAUUAAAGGCAGACUACGAAGUAGGAUUCGUCGCGUCAUCACUGAACAACAAUAGCGAUUUUCCUUACUGAGGAGUUGGCAACGCUGACUGCAGCCUCCCACACUGCGCACGCGCAAACACAGAAAUGAAGGCGAAAAGACGGAGCAGCACAGUAGUGCAGCAUGUGAUCUGGACACAAGCGAUGAAAGCACAAGUUGUAGAACUUUUGCAAGCUCUUCCGAGCCUUUUCUUUUUUUUUUUUUACUUGAAAAGUUUUUUAUUUUCUCCACCAUGCAGGAGGACCCCUUAUUUUGAUGGCGAUUUUGGUGGGGUUUUCUUUUGUUUUGUUUUAGGAACUGGGCCUUUAGCCAAUUUCUUCUGCAUUUUCUUUAUAACCCCACCCCGUUUGGCCUCGCCCGGCGGGGGCUGUUUCCCCCAGACCCGGCGGUACUCUUCAUGUUUGACCGCCGGGUCUGUCCGGGUCUGGAGGAGUGGACCAGCUGGCCUCAUUGCUUUCUUACAUUCUUUUUUAUCGCUUUUCUCCAUUGUUUCCUCGAGCGCUUCGUGGACUGGCCGUUGAACACUUUGGAGUUCCAUAGUAGUGACCGUAGUACCGUGCGGAUCGAUACUGAGCCUUUUCGAUGUCUCCUCACAAAAUUAUCACGACCACAACAACCGUGAAAAUAUUUGAAUGGACAUUGCUGCUCAAUCACAGCUGCCUGAUCAAUAUUUUUCAUUAGCAAUUUAGCACAGUUGAUGGUGGUGGUGUGUGUGUCUGUGUGAGUGAAAGACAUAGAGGGAGAGAGAGGGACAGAUUUUGUGUUAUAACCUUAGGGAUGCUUAGUGUGAGCACUCAGGUCGCAUCAGAGCAUCGGGCCGUAUAGUGUGAGACCCUGCAUCGUGACCUACGAACUUCUAACCCCUGCGAGUCAAUCGUACAGUUUGAGCAGGCGCUGAAUAACGCCACUGAAAAAAUCGCACAGCGUAUGCCCAAGGCUCCGCCGAUGCUGAUGGAAAUGGACAAAACGUUAAGAAACGCAAAGCCAGAGGAACAGACUAACACACACUAAUGCUGUUUUUGACCUCUAUUUAUGCCCUCAGUAGGCGUGACCUUACGGCCGCACUUCAAAGCACGGCCGCACUUCAAAGCACUCAGCCUUUUGACGCGUCACCUAAUCUUCGUUCUAAUGGCGCAACUCCUCCCAGUCAUUCAUAAUCCGACCUCCGCGUUUGCACUCGCUGCCUACAAGAGCUCCCAAAUGUGAACAUCACUGAUGUUCAUCGGAUUUGCAGAGUGACGACAACCCCCGCCAGCAUGUUAGAUAAAGGAUUUAAGUUAUAUGCUGCAUCACACAACUACGAAGAUUAAGCUUCUGGAUUCAUCGCUGGUGGUACUGACACAUAGCCAGUGCUCCUGUGUGGCAGGUGCUGUUAUGUGCAAUCACACAGUGGCACUGCUCUUCCAAACAGCACACUACUCACAACUCAGAGUGCCGGUUAUCCCCCUGUGCAUAGCUGCACCGAAUCUGAACAGCAAUGGCACAAGCCACGGACAGUGGGUGUGAAGCCAGGACCUAUCAACUCUAUGAUCUUCACUAAGCCGGUACCAAAUAGGAUGGCCCAGACUGGAGCACGGAGUGGAUUCUACAGAGGCACUGUGGGUCCAUUACCAGAUCCCUGACCUGACAAGCCCCUUGUGGAAAGUGCCUUUGGGCUGGUGAAGGAGGGCAGUGUUCUGCCAUGUCAGCAGCCGGUUUUGACAACCCGGUACAUCACACUACACCGUGAUGCACCACCAACACCGCACUUGCCUCUGGAG